RNAcentral lists this microRNA (23 nucleotides) under Oreochromis niloticus (Nile tilapia). RNAcentral describes it as "oni-miR-10948". The record is from miRBase by way of RNAcentral. Lineage: Eukaryota; Metazoa; Chordata; Actinopteri; Cichliformes; Cichlidae.
UCUAUUUCUUUUCUCUCCUUCCU